Cornus florida is the source of this 805-nucleotide long non-coding RNA. RefSeq lists it as uncharacterized. The record is from RefSeq and is a predicted model, not a curated record. Lineage: Eukaryota; Viridiplantae; Streptophyta; Magnoliopsida; Cornales; Cornaceae. The transcript is spliced from 2 exons.
CAUUUUUUAGAAGUACUAGGGUUUAAGAUAAGACUAAUUAUUAAUUUAACAUUUAUCAUGAAUGCCAUAAUUAAAUAGGCCCUUUCGUUAUUUAUUUAUUAAAAAAAGAAAAAGAAAAAGAAAAGUAGCAGCAAUUGAGUAGUUUCACCCUACCAUUCAGAAACAAUAAGUACUAGCUAGCUUGAAAUAUAAUAUUACAUAUUGUAUUUCCAAUACAAAAUAAGACCAAGCACAUGGUGCCAGACUUUGAUGUAAAUGACUUCAUUUGGAUCAGUCUCAACAGCUGGGCAUUACCGGCUAGCUAUAAAGCUCAUUUGAGCUCGAUCUACUAAAACCCAGAAAAAUAUAUUAAUUAAUUAAAUGGAGAAACUUGCUGGGAGUCUGAAGAAGAGGUUUGUCAAUCUGGUUGAAGCCAUCAAAUCUUGCAACAAUGCUCAAGGAAUUGUAGAUGGAGAGGAAACUGAUUUGAAGACUGUGAAGGUAUGGUGUAUAUGUGUGUGUGUGUGUGUAUAUAUAUAUGAUUAUGUUAUAGUACCAAAGAUUAUUGGAGUUGAGAUCUGUUGAUGUUGAUUAGAUACAGAAAGUAGGUGUGCAAUCAAGAGCCAUUAAGAUGAAACCAGGAAAAGGUCCGAGACGGCCAAGCGUGCCCAAAGGCCCUCCUCCUCAGACAAAUUAAACAUCUUAAGUGAUCUACAUAUAUUAUUCUCAUCUAAUUUUAAGUGCUUUAAUUUCCUAUUUUGAUGUACAUCUCCGCAGAGUUGUGUGGAUGUGAUUAUUUCAUUAUAAAGUUUCUUCCAUUUGCUUC